Molecule: long non-coding RNA, 1704 nt
Filed under: Setaria italica (foxtail millet)
Lineage: Eukaryota; Viridiplantae; Streptophyta; Magnoliopsida; Poales; Poaceae
Description: long non-coding RNA (SITA_LNC001945)
Source: RNAcentral
CACUCCAUGCUGAGCCACCAUGACCUGCCUGCCGCCGCCGGCCAUUCCUCUUCACCGCUGCAAUCCUGGCCACCCAUACCUUUCUCUUCCUUUAUCUCUUCCCUUCUCGUUUAAUCAGCUCCAUCUCUCGUCCUGCACAGGUCCAUAGCACAGCAGCAACGUGUGAGGGUACCCGGCCAUGAAGGAGGCCCUUGGAUUCAUGGCAUCGUCCGCCUGUAGGCGCCAUUAGAUCCAUGGAGGAAAAGGCUAGAUCCACUUCAGAGGCUUCGUCCCUGGCCUUUUCUCGUCGGCGGUGAGCUCCUCGAUCUCCCAGUGCCCCCCACCAAGCUCCUCACCAUGCCACAACAAGCAAGCACAAGGUAUAGCUCAUAUAUACUCUCCCCUUCCCUUCCUACUGUGCCAUCAAAAACACAAAUAAUCUAAUCAUGGUGUAACGACAGGCAAAUUUGAUUUUCCCUGUCAAGCUAGCCCUGUCGGUAAUUUUCUGUCGGUCCACUGACAGGGAAAUUGAUUUUGUAUUUUCCUAUCAGUAUUUUUAUUUUCCUAUCGGUUUCCUUAUCGACAGGGAAAAAACCGUUUCCAGUAGUGAAUAUAUGCGACAUCAAACACAUAGUCUACUGGUGAAACUGCCGCCCAUAUAUUCUUGGCAAAAAAAAAAUUCAUGGCAAGCACUUGUAUGGAAUGGCAUGCCUGCUUAAUUUCCUUUCGCUCUGCCACCUUUUGCAAUAUUCUUCAAAAUCUCAACCGGCAGUAUAUGCCUAUAAAAGUCCGGCUAAUGCUUUUGCAAUAUCAUCUUGACAAAACCAUAUAGCCUAAAAACCACCUUUUGCAAUAUCAUCUUGACAAAACCAUAUAGCCUAAAAGAGCGAGCCACCCCGGCUAAUGCUUUUCUCCUCUGUUGUACUCCUGUAUUGCUAAAUCAUCCAUAAUAUAUAUGGUCCAUAUUCCUAGGAGUAUCUAGGGCAAAGGAAAUUUUAACUAUACGCCAAAUGGAUUAGCAAAAGGACACUCAAAGAACAAAUGAUGAAUGGUUUCAUUUUGGUUAUUACAAAUGUAAAUAAGCAAUAGUGGAUACUUCCAUUCCAAUUUCUUAACAGAUAAUGGAAUUAUGUUAUUGGAGGGAAAUUAUUGGGGAUGAUUUGUGUUUAGUGUUUGUCUCUCCAGAUGACAUGGAGAAAGCUUAAUUAUGUAGACAAUGAUAGGCUUUUACUAUUGAACACACCCUAAUAGAUCUUCCUCCCAUUAAGGAAAAAAAAAACUCUUCCUCCCACCACGGUGGCGGAGAUAGAUUGGAAGAUUCGACAAUGCCCUGCCGCUGAUGGAUGCGUGUGAAUUCAAUGGUAAAUACUUCAGGUUAUUGCGAGCUGGGGAUGCAGUUGCAGCUGCCGUUGUCUCAGCAACCUUUGAUCUAUGGGUCAGAGAGACGUAACUUCCCUGUCCAAGAUCAAUCGGCCGGGUUCAGUUCCUCACUCGCGACUGAAGGGACAAUAUUGGACAUUCAUGACAAACACCAGCUGAACGAAAUUGCUGCAGGAAUCGAAGUGAAAUUGAUGUUGGAUGGAGGUUUAGCAACAGCUAAUGGUGAAGCUUUCUGUGAUUGAGCAUUUAGUUCUUUGAGAACCAUUUGGUGCUUCUUUCUUACAGCAAGUGUAACAAUUGUAAUAAUGAAUAGCCACAAACAUCUAUUGUUGCAGAAGCUGGGAC